Molecule: ribosomal RNA, 253 nt
Filed under: uncultured bacterium
Lineage: Bacteria
Description: partial 16S ribosomal RNA
Rfam family: Bacterial small subunit ribosomal RNA
Source: RNAcentral
UACGUAGGGUGCGAGCGUUAAUCGGAAUUACUGGGCGUAAAGCGUGCGCAGGCGGUUUUGUAAGCCAGAUGUGAAAUCCCCGGGCUUAACCUGGGAAUGGCAUUUGGGACUGCAAGGCUGGAGUGUGGCAGAGGAGACUGGAAUUCCUGGUGUAGCAGUGAAAUGCGUAGGUAUCAGGAGGAACACCGAUGGCGAAGGCAGGUCCCUGGGCUGACACUGACGCUCAUGCACGAAAGCGUGGGGAGCAAACAGG